UGUUCUGUGGCUUAGUUGGUUAAAGCGCCGGUCUAGCGAAUACGGAGUCGUGGGUUCGAAUCCCACCAAAACGC
This is a non-coding RNA of Aedes albopictus (Asian tiger mosquito), 74 nucleotides long. The record is from Rfam. Lineage: Eukaryota; Metazoa; Arthropoda; Insecta; Diptera; Culicidae.